This 440-nucleotide ribosomal RNA is filed under the name uncultured bacterium. Its description in RNAcentral is "bacterial SSU rRNA". It matches the Rfam family "Bacterial small subunit ribosomal RNA", at positions 338 to 770 of the family's 1533-position model. The record is from RNAcentral.
CCUACGGGAGGCUGCAGUGGGGAAUUUUGGACAAUGGGCGCAAGCCUGAUCCAGCCAUGCCGCGUGAGUGAAGAAGGCCUUCGGGUUGUAAAGCUCUUUCGGCGGGGACGAAACGGUCCGUGCUAACACCACGGACUAAUGACGGUACCCGCAGAAGAAGCACCGGCUAACUACGUGCCAGCAGCCGCGGUAAUACGUAGGGUGCAGGCGUUAAUCGGAAUUACUGGGCGUAAAGCGUGCGCAGGCGGUCUCUUAAGUCAGAUGUGAAAUCCCCGGGCUUAACCUGGGAACUGCGUUUGAAACUGAGAGGCUAGAGUGCGGCAGAGGGGGGUGGAAUUCCACGUGUAGCAGUGAAAUGCGUAGAGAUGUGGAGGAACACCGAUGGCGAAGGCAGCCCCCUGGGUCGACACUGACGCUCAUGCACGAAAGCGUGGGGAGCA